AAAAGGUAUUAGGUGUACACAACAUGGGGUAUAUUUGCUUUAAAUGCAAAAGGUCUUUGGGAUCUGACGUCAGAGCAUUUUUUUCACAUUUGAGAGUUGCACAUCAUGUCUAUUCUACAUCCACAUACUUUCAGUGUGCUCAAGCUGGAUGUAAUCGCACAUUCAGUAUUAUUAGAUCAUUUAGAAGACACCUACUGCAGCAUGCUAAUGAAAUUGGCAAUGAAAUGGAGGAAGCCCCUUUGGUUGAGCCUGAAAACUAUUCAUCAGAUUCAGUUUUAGAGGCUGUUGAACAGAGUGAUGAGGAGCAUGAUGACAUUUCUGAUGAACAAUGUGAUGAGUUUCAGGAGGAAAAUAUAAGAGACAGGGUAGCAUUGUUUUUAGCAAAAUUAAGGUCAAAUUCCUCCCAGACAUUGAGUGCUGUUAAUUGUGUGGUAGAGCACACAUCUAGCCUUGUCAGUGAUGUUGUUGGAUCCCUACAAAGAAAAACAGCCUCUUUUUUAAGAGACAUAGGCCACCUUGACAGUCCUGAGAGCCAGAGUUUUUUAGAAAAUUUUGCAGUGGCAGCUCAACCAUUUCAGGGCUUUGAGUCAGAGUACAAGCAAAAGCAGUACUUUACACAGUCUGGAUGCUUUGUUCAUCCAAAAGAAGUGCCUUUCCCUGGUGUCUCAUACACCCAAAAGAGAGACACAUUGACGGGGAUUGUAAAACAAGUGGCAGUCCAAGAUACGUUUCAGCUAAUUCCUUUAAGGCCUUUGCUAAAGCUGGUUUUAGAAAGUCCAGGGACAAUAGACAAGAUCUUUGAAUGCCAAAAUCAAGAGAGCACUGCACUGCAAGAUUUUAGAGACGGCACAAUCUUCAAAUCCAGUGAACUGUUUUCCAAAGAGUUAUCCAUUCCUCUUGUACUGUACAACGAUGAAUGUGAGAUGGUAAACCCACUUGGAUCAAAAACUUCAGUUCACAAGCUAGGCUUUGUUUAUUUUACUCUUAAAUGCUUGCGACCUGAGUUUCUCUCCAGCCUAAACUCUCACUUCUUGUUGGCAGUGUACAAGACAGAUGACAUAAAAACUUAUGGAAUAAAUGCUGUCUUAGAUCCAAUUGUGUCUGAGAUUAAGGAUCUGGAAUUGGAAGGAGUUCAGGUUGACACAAAACAUUUCAAGGGUACUAUUAAAGCAAGCGUUGCACAGGUUUGUGGGGAUAACCUGGGUCUUAAUUCCAUCCUAGGCUACACAGAAAGUUUCUCAGGGAAAACUGUAUGUCGAUGGUGUCGCGUUCAUAAAGAGGUUUUGAGAGAACAGACAGUUGAGGACCUGUCAGUGAUGCGCAACAGGAUAAACUAUCACUCUGAUUUACUUCAGAAUAACCCAACUGAAACUGGCAUUAAAAGAGCGUGUUCGCUCAAUAAACUGCAGUUCUACCAUGUAACUGACAAUGUAACUCCUGAUGUCAUGCAUGACAUUUUGGAAGGAGUUGGAGGUUACGAAAUCAAGCUUGUUCUUAAUUCUCUGAUUGAACAAAAACUCUUAACACUCGAUCAACUGAAUAAUAGACUUACAAGCUUUGAUUAUGGUUUUUCUGAUAGUCGCAAUAAGCCAUCUGUUAUCAAGCCUCAGGAUCUUAAAAAUCCGGAUGGGGCCAUGAGACAAACAGCAGCACAGAUGUGGUGCCUUCUAAGGUUGCUCCCUCUUAUGAUAGGGGAUUUGAUUCCAGAAGGCGAGAGACACUGGGAACUAAUACUUUCAUUACUUAGCUGUAUGGAGUUGAUUUUCUCUCCAGCCUUAACUGCAGAGGCAGUUACAUUUUUGCAGCAUUUGAUUGAGGAACACCAUAGUCUGUUUUUGGAGCUUUAUCCAGACAGGCAUUUGAAGCCAAAGCACCACUUCAUGCUUCAUUAUCCUGGGGCCAUCAGGAAACUUGGACCGUUGGUUCAUUUCUGGUCCAUGCGUUUUGAGGCAAAACAUGGAUUUUUCAAAAGACUAAGUCAUGUAACCUGCAAUUUUCGGAACAUUUGUAAAACACAGGCUUUCCGACAUCAGAUGAUGUUGUGCUACACCCUGAUGUCUGAGAAAAUGUUUUCACAUGACUUUGAAGUUGGUCCAGGAUACACCACACUCCUGGCAUCUAUAGACGAUUUUGAAAAAGUGAAACAUGGAUUUGAGGGAAUCCCUUUGUUCUCAGAAGUCUAUUUACCAUCUUGGAUUAAGUACAAGGGAGCAACCUAUAGGCCAGGAAUGACACUUUUUGUAUCUCACUCUGCUGAUGGUGAGCCCCAGUUUGCAACCAUUAGGAAUGUUGUGCUCUUUGACUCCAAGGUCAAAUUCGUUGUGAAAAAAUGGGACACAGUUGGAUUUGACAGGCAUUAUUUUGCCUUCUCUGUGUCUCCUUCUUCUGUGCUUGAUUCGGUGGACAUUCACACUGUUGAAGAUCAUCACCCCCUUCAUGUUGUAAUGUCCUUACAGGACGAUGAGAACCACCGUUACAUUUCGCUGCGAUACAGGCUAUUCUAGGAGGGGGCGGGAGGGCGUUGUUGAAGAUGGGUUUUUGGUGUUGGGUGGGUGGAUGGGGUUAUGGUAGCAGGGUGAUCAAAAACAACAUUAGCCCAUGAUUGUGUACACCUAAUACUAAAAACUAUCAUGCACGUUUGAACAUUUAUACAAAUAUCAACAAAUUUCAUCAAAGUCAUCAUGGGGACAUCGCAAUACAUGAAUCAAUCAAAGAGCCUGCAACUACAGUAACAGUACUAAGGGAGCAGCAGCAGGGUCCUGAGCAGCACAGAAGAACGGUGGAGCAUGCAGCAGCAUUUAAUGUAAGAGACAUCCUUACAGCAAC
Danio rerio (zebrafish) is the source of this 2826-nucleotide non-coding RNA. Lineage: Eukaryota; Metazoa; Chordata; Actinopteri; Cypriniformes; Danionidae. The record is from RefSeq and is a predicted model, not a curated record.